This 326-nucleotide ribosomal RNA is filed under the name uncultured eukaryote. RNAcentral's name for it is "partial 18S ribosomal RNA". It matches the Rfam family "Eukaryotic small subunit ribosomal RNA", at positions 1470 to 1796 of the family's 1831-position model. The record is from RNAcentral.
CCCUUAGAUGUUCUGGGCUGCACGCGCGCUACACUGAUGCACUCAACGAGUUUACGACCUUGCCCGAUAGGGUUGGGUAAUCUUUUUAAAAUGCAUCGUGAUGGGGAUAGAUUAUUGCAAUUAUUAAUCUUCAACGAGGAAUUCCUAGUAAGCGCGAGUCAUCAGCUCGUGCUGAUUACGUCCCUGCCCUUUGUACACACCGCCCGUCGCUCCUACCGAUUGAGUGCUAAGGUGAAUAAUUCGGACUGCAGCAAUGUUUGGAUCCCGAACGUUGCAGCGGAAAGUUUAGUGAACCUUAUCACUUAGAGGAAGGAGAAGUCGUAACA